This 750-nucleotide ribosomal RNA is filed under the name uncultured Halococcus sp. RNAcentral's name for it is "bacterial SSU rRNA". It matches the Rfam family "Archaeal small subunit ribosomal RNA", at positions 21 to 771 of the family's 1478-position model. The record is from RNAcentral. Lineage: Archaea; Methanobacteriati; Methanobacteriota; Halobacteria; Halobacteriales; Halococcaceae.
AGGCUAUUGCUAUCGGGGUCCGAUUCAGCCAUGCUAGUUGUACGGGUUCAGACCCGUAGCAAAUAGCUCCGUAACACGUGGUCAAACUACCCUCUGGACCGGGAUAUCCUCGGGAAACUGAGGUCAAUCCCAGAUACUGCUUUCAUGUUGGAAUACAGAAAGUCGGAAACGGUCCGCCGCCGGAGGACGUGACUGCGGCCGAUUAGGUAGACGGUGGGGUAACGGCCCACCGUGCCGAUAAUCGGUACGGGUUGUGAGAGCAAGAACCCGGAGACGGUAUCUGAGACAAGAUACCGGGCCCUACGGGGCGCAGCAGGCGCGAAACCUUUACACUGCACGCCAGUGCGAUAAGGGGACCCCGAGUGCGAGGGCAUACAGUCCUCGCUUUUCGUGACCGUAAGAAGGUCUCAGAAUAAGAGCUGGGCAAGACCGGUGCCAGCCGCCGCGGUAAUACCGGCAGCUCGAGUGAUAGCCACUAUUAUUGGGCCUAAAGCGUCCGUAGCCGGCCGAACAGGUCCGUCGGGAAAUCCACCCGCUCAACGGGUGGGACGUCCGGCGGAAACCAGUCGGCUUGGGGCCGGGAGACCAGAGAGGUACGUCCGGGGUAGGAGUGAAAUCCUGUAAUCCUGGACGGACCACCGGUAGCGAAAGCGUCUCUGGAGAACGGACCCGACGGUGAGGGACGAAAGCUUGGGUCUCGAACCGGAUUAGAUACCCGGGUAGUCCAAGCUGUAAACGAUGCUCGCUAGG